RNAcentral lists this ribosomal RNA (1461 nucleotides) under uncultured prokaryote. RNAcentral describes it as "partial 16S ribosomal RNA". It matches the Rfam family "Bacterial small subunit ribosomal RNA". The record is from RNAcentral.
AGAGUUUGAUCAUGGCUCAGGACGAACGUUGGCGGCGCGCUUAAUGCAUGCAAGUCGAACGAGAAACCAUCCUUCGGGAUGGUGGACAGUGGCAAACGGCUGAGUAACGCGUGAGGGACCUGCCCUAGAGUGGGGAAUAGCCCCGAGAAAUCGGGAUUAAUACCGCAUACGCUCUUUCUCUUAGAGGGGAAAGAGGAAAGAUUUAUUGCUCUUGGAGGGACUCGCGUCCUAUCAGGUAGUUGGUGGGGUUAUGGCCUACCAAGCCUUAGACGGAUAGCUGGUGUGAGAGCACGACCAGCCAGAGGGGGACUGAGACACGGCCCCCACUCCUACGGGAGGCAGCAGCAGGAAAUCUUGCACAAUGGGCGAAAGCCUGAUGCAGCGACGCCGCGUGAGGGAUGAAGGCUCUAGGGUUGUAAACCUCUUUUAUCAGGGAAGAGCAAGGACGGUACCUGAGGAAUAAGCCACGGCUAACUACGUGCCAGCAGCCGCGGUAAUACGUAGGUGGCAAACGUUGUCCGGAAUUACUGGGCGUAAAGGGCUCGUAGGCGGUCCAACAAGUCGUUUGUGAAAUCUCCCGGCUCAACUGGGAGUGGUCGAGCGAAACUGUUGGACUUGAGGAUGUCAGAGGAAGACGGAAUUCCCGGUGUAGUGGUGAAAUGCGUAGAUAUCGGGAGGAACACCAGUGGCGAAAGCGGUCUUCUGGGGCAUUUCUGACGCUGAGGAGCGAAAGCGUGGGGAGCAAACCGGAUUAGAUACCCGGGUAGUCCACGCCCUAAACGAUGGAUGCUAGGUCUUGGGGGUAUCGACCCCCUCUGGGCCAAAGCUAACGCGUUAAGCAUCCCGCCUGGGGACUACGGCCGCAAGGCUAAAACUCAAAGGAAUUGACGGGACCCCGCACAAGCAGCGGAGCGUGUGGUUUAAUUCGAUGCUAAGCGAAGAACCUUACCAGGGCUUGACAUGCAUGUAGUAUCGAUCCGAAAGGUGAGAGACCCGUAAGGGAGCUUGCACAGGUGUUGCAUGGCUGUCGUCAGCUCGUGCCGUGAGGUGUUGGGUUAAGUCCCGCAACGAGCGCAACCCUCAUGAUCAGUUGCUUUUUCUGGUCAGACUGCCCGCAAGGGAGGAAGGUGGGGACGACGUCAAGUCAUCAUGACUCUUACGUCCUGGGCUACACACACGCUACAAUGGCCGGUACAGACGGUUGCUAAGCCGCAAGGUGGAGCUAAUCCGAAAAAGCCGGCCCCAGUUGGAAUUGCAGGCUGAAACCCGCCUGCAUGAACGUGGAGUUGCUAGUAACCGCAGGUCAGCACACUGCGGUGAAUACGUUCCCGGGGUUUGUACACACCGCCCGUCACGUCAUGGAAGUCGGAAGCGCUUGAAGUCGCUGGGCUAACCUCGAUUUAUCGAGGAGGCAGGCGCCGAGGGUGAAGCCGAUGACUGGGACGAAGUCGUAACAAGGUA